This 320-nucleotide long non-coding RNA is filed under the name Nicotiana benthamiana. RNAcentral describes it as "long non-coding RNA (NBEN_LNC005282)". Lineage: Eukaryota; Viridiplantae; Streptophyta; Magnoliopsida; Solanales; Solanaceae. The record is from RNAcentral.
AGCUUCUUCGCCUACUGAGGCAUCCUGAUAUCGUAGAAAUAAAGCACAUUAUGUUGCCUCCUUCUCGGAGAGAGUUUAAAGAUAUUUAUGUUGUUUUUGAAUUGAUGGAAUCAGAUCUCCAUCAGGUAAUUAAGGCCAAUGAUGAUCUUACACCUGAGCAUUAUCAGUUUUUUCUGUACCAGCUUCUGCGCGGAUUAAAAUAUAUUCAUACAGGUUUGGGCCAAUAAUGAUCUUACUGCUGAGCAUUAUCAGUUUUUCCUAUACCAGCUUAUGCGUGGACUAAAAUAUAUUCAUACAGGUUUGUUCUUUGUAUAAUUUGA